This 497-nucleotide ribosomal RNA is filed under the name uncultured bacterium. RNAcentral describes it as "partial 16S ribosomal RNA". It matches the Rfam family "Bacterial small subunit ribosomal RNA", at positions 28 to 507 of the family's 1533-position model. The record is from RNAcentral.
GAUGAACGCUGGCGGCGUGCCUAAUACAUGCAAGUCGAGCGAACAGACGAGGAGCUUGCUCCUCUGACGUUAGCGGCGGACGGGUGAGUAACACGUGGAUAACCUACCUAUAAGACUGGGAUAACUUCGGGAAACCGGAGCUAAUACCGGAUAAUAUAUUGAACCGCAUGGUUCGAUAGUGAAAGACGGUUUUGCUGUCACUUAUAGAUGGAUCCGCGCCGCAUUAGCUAGUUGGUAAGGUAACGGCUUACCAAGGCAACGAUGCGUAGCCGACCUGAGAGGGUGAUCGGCCACACUGGAACUGAGACACGGUCCAGACCCCUACGGGAGGCAGCAGUAGGGAAUCUUCCGCAAUGGGCGAAAGCCUGACGGAGCAACGCCGCGUGAGUGAUGAAGGUCUUCGGAUCGUAAAACUCUGUUAUUAGGGAAGAACAAAUGUGUAAGUAACUAUGCACGUCUUGACGGUACCUAAUCAGAAAGCCACGGCUAACUACGUG